This 433-nucleotide ribosomal RNA is filed under the name uncultured bacterium. RNAcentral describes it as "partial 16S ribosomal RNA". It matches the Rfam family "Bacterial small subunit ribosomal RNA", at positions 29 to 507 of the family's 1533-position model. The record is from RNAcentral.
AACGAACGCUGGCGACAGGCCUAACACAUGCAAGUCGAGCGAGCAUUUCGGUGCUAGCGGCGGACGGGUGAGUAACGCGUGGGAACGUGCCCUUUUCUGCGGAAUAGUCCUGGGAAACUGGGGGUAAUACCGCAUACGCCCUUUUGGGGAAAGAUUUAUCGGAGAAGGAUCGGCCCGCGUUGGAUUAGGUAGUUGGUGGGGUAAUGGCCCACCAAGCCGACGAUCCAUAGCUGGUUUGAGAGGAUGAUCAGCCACACUGGGACUGAGACACGGCCCAGACUCCUACGGGAGGCAGCAGUGGGGAAUCUUAGACAAUGGGGGCAACCCUGAUCUAGCCAUGCCGCGUGAGUGAUGAAGGCCUUAGGGUUGUAAAGAUCUUUAAGCUGGGAAGAUAAUGACGGUACCAGCAGAAGAAGCCCCGGCUAACUCCGUG